CACCUCUGUCCCCUCCCUCAAUGUCACAACUCCUAUUCCUCCUUCAGAUCUCAGCUCAGGCAGAAGUUUCUCAGUGAAGUUCUCUCUGACCCUCUCUCAUCCCCAGACCAGACUGCUGGGACACAUUCUCCGGUGGAGGAAUCUCCAACUGCAAAUCCCUCAGCAGUGGCCAUGUCUAUUCUGCAGUUGCUCAGAGUGUCUCCCUCAGCCACUGGCUUCUUGUUAUCUACUCCCCUCUGCUGGUGUCAUGUUGAGUGUCUCCUUGCAGUCCGCAUGCGCGGAAACCAGAGCCUCCAGAAGCAACAGGGCCCUGUGAACCCAUCUUUAGCCUUCAGGAGGAAGGAGCUGUGAGCGAAUACAGAUAAUAAGUAAAGGUGAUGACUAUGGAAUAAAGAAGGUAGAAGGUGACACAUACAACGUCUGGAAAACUUCAGGAAAACACCCUUCCUUCCUCUCCUUGCCCCCUCCUCCACCUGGAGAC
Molecule: long non-coding RNA, 481 nt
Organism: Myotis myotis
Lineage: Eukaryota; Metazoa; Chordata; Mammalia; Chiroptera; Vespertilionidae
Exons: 4
Source: RefSeq, a predicted model, not a curated record